RNAcentral lists this unclassified non-coding RNA (191 nucleotides) under uncultured fungus. Its description in RNAcentral is "sequence contains ITS1". Lineage: Eukaryota; Fungi. The record is from RNAcentral.
UUAACUAUUGCGUUUUUGCUCAGAGAGGCCUGCAAAACAAGAGUCUGCGUCGACCCCGGCGGGCACCCUCGCGGGCGGCGGCCCCUCCUAGGGGCCUCCCGCCGAGGCAACAGUCGUUCCUCGGGCGGUUCUCAAUGGUCGGGAGAGUAGUGGACUCUUUAAUGAUCCCUCCGCUGGUUCACCAACGGAGA